Non-coding RNA from Phrynosoma platyrhinos (Desert horned lizard), 73 nucleotides. The record is from the annotation of a GenBank genome assembly. Lineage: Eukaryota; Metazoa; Chordata; Lepidosauria; Squamata; Phrynosomatidae.
GUCAGUAUGGCGCAGUGGCUUUGAGUGUUGGACUGUGAUUCUGGAGAUCCGGGUUCAAAUCCCUGCUUGGGCA